UACGUAGGGUGCAAGCGUUGUCCGGAAUUAUUGGGCGUAAAGAGCUCGUAGGCGGUUUGUUGCGUCGGCUGUGAAAUCCCGAGGCUCAACCUCGGGUCUGCAGUCGAUACGAGCAAACUAGAGUGUUGCAGGGGAGACUGGAAUUCCAGGUGUAGCGGUGAAAUGCGUAGAUAUCUGGAGGAACACCGGUGGCGAAGGCGGCAUCCUGGACCGGCAUUGACGCUGAGGCGCGAAAGCCAGGGGAGCAAACGGG
This 253-nucleotide ribosomal RNA is filed under the name uncultured bacterium. Its description in RNAcentral is "partial 16S ribosomal RNA". It matches the Rfam family "Bacterial small subunit ribosomal RNA", at positions 524 to 776 of the family's 1533-position model. The record is from RNAcentral.